This 67-nucleotide transfer RNA is filed under the name Leptidea morsei. RNAcentral describes it as "tRNA-Ser". Lineage: Eukaryota; Metazoa; Arthropoda; Insecta; Lepidoptera; Pieridae. The record is from RNAcentral.
AAUUAAUGAGCUUGAUAAAGCAUUUGUUUUGAAAACUUAAGAAAGAAUUUAAAUAUUCUAUUAAUUU